RNAcentral lists this ribosomal RNA (520 nucleotides) under uncultured Clostridium sp. RNAcentral describes it as "bacterial SSU rRNA". It matches the Rfam family "Bacterial small subunit ribosomal RNA", at positions 355 to 896 of the family's 1533-position model. Lineage: Bacteria; Bacillati; Bacillota; Clostridia; Eubacteriales; Clostridiaceae. The record is from RNAcentral.
UGGGGAAUAUUGCACAAUGGGCGAAAGCCUGAUGCAGCAACGCCGCGUGAGCGAUGAAGGCCUUCGGGUCGUAAAGCUCUGUCCUAUGGGAAGAUAAUGACGGUACCAUAGGAGGAAGCCCCGGCUAACUACGUGCCAGCAGCCGCGGUAAUACGUAGGGGGCAAGCGUUAUCCGGAAUUACUGGGCGUAAAGGGUGCGUAGGCGGUUUAUCAAGUAAGGGGUGAAAGGCUACGGCUCAACCGUAGUGAGCCUCUGAAACUGGUGAACUUGAGUGUAGGAGAGGAAAGUGGAAUUCCCAGUGUAGCGGUGAAAUGCGUAGAUAUUGGGAGGAGCACCAGUGGCGAAGGCGACUUUCUGGACUACAACUGACGCUGAGGCACGAAAGCGUGGGGAGCAAACAGGAUUAGAUACCCUGGUAGUCCACGCUGUAAACGAUGAGUACUAGGUGUCGGCUGUCAAAGGUCGGUGCCGGCGUUAACACAUUAAGUACUCCGCCUGGGGAGUACGCUCGCAAGAGUG